RNAcentral lists this ribosomal RNA (482 nucleotides) under uncultured bacterium. Its description in RNAcentral is "partial 16S ribosomal RNA". It matches the Rfam family "Bacterial small subunit ribosomal RNA", at positions 30 to 507 of the family's 1533-position model. The record is from RNAcentral.
AUUGAACGCUGGCGGCAUGCUUUACACAUGCAAGUCGAACGGUAACAGGCCGCAAGGUGCUGACGAGUGGCGAACGGGUGAGUAAUGCAUCGGAACGUGCCCAGUCGUGGGGGAUAACUACUCGAAAGAGUAGCUAAUACCGCAUACGAUCUAUGGAUGAAAGCGGGGGACCGUAAGGCCUCGCGCGAUUGGAGCGGCCGAUGUCAGAUUAGGUAGUUGGUGGGGUAAAGGCUCACCAAGCCAACGAUCUGUAGCUGGUCUGAGAGGACGACCAGCCACACUGGGACUGAGACACGGCCCAGGCUCCUACGGGAGGCAGCAGUGGGGAAUUUUGGACAAUGGGCGCAAGCCUGAUCCAGCAAUGCCGCGUGCAGGAAGAAGGCCUUCGGGUUGUAAACUGCUUUUGUACGGAACGAAACGGCUCUGGUUAAUACCCGGGGCUAAUGACGGUACCGUAAGAAUAAGCACCGGCUAACUACGUG